UAUAAAACUUUACUCCUUUUUGUCAAACAAGCAAGCGUAAAUGUAAAAAGCCUGACGGCUUUUCCAAGAUGGUUAUUGAUCCUUCCGCAGGUUCACCUACGGAAA
RNAcentral lists this unclassified non-coding RNA (105 nucleotides) under uncultured fungus. RNAcentral's name for it is "sequence contains ITS1". Lineage: Eukaryota; Fungi. The record is from RNAcentral.